Molecule: ribosomal RNA, 254 nt
Filed under: uncultured bacterium
Lineage: Bacteria
Description: partial 16S ribosomal RNA
Rfam family: Bacterial small subunit ribosomal RNA
Source: RNAcentral
CACGUAGGGGGCGAGCGUUGUCCGGAUUUAUUGGGCGUAAAGAGCUCGUAGGCGGCUCGGUAAGUCGGGUGUGAAAACUCUAGGCUCAACCUAGAGACGCCACCUGAUACUGCUGUGGCUAGAGUCCGGUAGGGGAGCAUGGGAUUCCUGGUGUAGCGGUGAAAUGCGCAGAUAUCAGGAGGAACACCAGUGGCGAAGGCGGUGCUCUGGGCCGGUACUGACGCUGAGGAGCGAAAGCGUGGGGAGCAAACAGG